GUCUAGAAUAGUCAGUGAACCAAACCACCAAACAAAAUGCUGGCGAGAGGGGAAAGGAAACACGAGGUGAAGAACAUGAGGCUUGGAGAAGUGAGCAAGACCUAGAAGCCAGAUGUGGCUGGCUCCAAGUCCACCUUCUCCCAUUCACUAGGCAGCCUCUCUAACUGCCUUCGUGCUCAUCCAAGAGAAAAACAAUUAGCCGUGCUUUGUCUUGAAAGAAGACAUGGGUAGAAGCCUUGAAAAAACCCUGCUCCUGCCUUUGACCCCUGAGUUCCUGGGUGCACUCUAAGCUCUGAGGUCUCAGGACAGGGGCAUCCCUCCCCCGCUCCCUCUUCAAGUCCGACGGUGUUUUCACCACAGCUGUGACGUUGACUUAUUUCAAAAAAACAUUAUUUUAAGCAUUCAGCAAUGGCAAAAGAAAACCUUGUUUGGAAGCCAAAGUGCCCUUUUAAAUGACCCAUUAAUUGGAUCAAAGCUUCCCUCAAUGCAAGGAUAAUUGCUUGUAACUGGCUAAAGUCUAUGACCCAGAAUUGGAUUGACAAACAUCAGACACAACUCAGGGAGAAGAUUGGAGAUAAGCCGGCACCUGAAGAGGUUCAAAGGAAUAUCCAGUUGUUCAAAUCAAGCCAGGAGGGGUUGACAUCUCCCCACUGCCUGAGAGACGAUAGGUCAGAACGAAUCCUGCUUUUCCAUUCAAGUCCUGAGCUGGUGAACGUGACCCCAUCAAGACCAGCCGGCCAGGAUGGGUCCAGAGGAGAACAUCUGCCUUUGCAUCCACUCUUUUCUGCAUGGGAAGAUCCAGCAGCAGUGGAAGUCCCAACCGAUAAAUCCCCACGAGUGGCAUUUCUGGGCCAGGAAGCCUAAUUGACGUCUCUGGAAUGGAUUUCCACUCUCGUCUCACCUAACCCCUCCGGUUUGUGGUUGAUUCGUCACUGGAGUGGGAUAGAAGGAAAGAGGGAGAGGCAAUCAGAGCUCCUGGAGUUCUUCUGAAGCCAAGCUGUCUUAGAUGCGGGAGACCGUGGGCACCAGACAGCUGUGUGAGGAGCGAUGGUCCUGAGAGACUGGGGAGAGAGACUCCAGGGCAGGAAGGACACAGAGACAACCAUGGUCUCUGAAUUAUUCAGGAGAAGCCAGCUGCAACCAGACAGCCCCAAACUUUUAACAUCACAAGUAAGUUUGCUUCUCACUUAGCGAGAGGCAGGGUGAGGGACCUCCAGCGUUAUUCAGGCUAUUUCAUCCUGAGGCUUCAGCCCGAUAGGGUCCCUGGCAUCCUCUGCGUGCAGCCAGCAGAUGGAGAAAGAGAGUGAGUGUCGGUGGGGGAGUUUCUAUAGGUCUGCCUGUAGGUGGUCUCCAUCACUCCUGCUCAUAUUCCAUUGUCCAGAGUCCAAGUCACCAGUCCUCAUGCAGCUGCAAUGGAAGCACAGCCUAGGUGCACGCCCAGGAGGAAGAGGGGAGCGUGGAAGCUGGUGUGGAAGGGAAGCCUAUCCAACCUGAGAACAGGAAGGGCCGGGCAGUGGGCAGAUAUGGAGCUCUGCGUUUGCACACACUUUGCAUGCAAAGUAAUGCAAAUAGAAUGUGCCUUUCCAGAAUCUGGCCAUUUUAAGCAAUAGCUGCAGUGUCACACAGUUCCUGGGACUUUCCCCUCCACUCAUCAACAGAGGAAGAUGGACAAAAGGAGUCCCUUUUCCUUUGUCCUGGAUUUCCGGGGAGGCAGACACGUUAAUAUUGCUUGCUAGCCCCACUCGUCUCCCCCCUCUUUACGCCAGAUUCCUCGAUUCCUUCUGUUCUCAAGCUUCAUCAGCUGAUUCUGGCCUCAGAUCUUUAGUCUCCUUUUUCCAGUUUCCUGAUCUCAAUCUUCCUUCCCUAUUCAUUGGAUGUUUAUUAUACGCUAGUCCUUGUGUUAAGAACUUUAUAUCUAUAAUGGGAAGAAAGUAUUGCUGCGGUUUGAGCUUGUUAACCUAGAAAGGUGGUAGGAGUCCACUAAGGGGAAAAACUCUUUCUGUUAGGAACACACCUUAAUGGACUUUGGCUAUAAAAGCGGCGUAAUCAAACAGGAAGAGGUUUGGUAACAAACAAACAAAAGGAUGAAGGGCACGAAGGGGAGAGAGAGAGAGAGAAUUGCUCUCUAUGACAGAGUGGAAGGAAAAGAGUCUUGGAGAACUUUUAGAGCGGCUGGGUCCUCAAGAAGCUAGUGGUGACUUGGAAAAGGAAGCAAAUGUUUCAGCCCUGGCUGUGCAUUAAAAUUACAUGGAGGGGGCCGGCUCCGUGGCCGAGUGGUUAAGUUCGCGUGCUCUGCUGCGGUGGCCUAGGGUUCGGAUCCUGCAGCGAGGACACAGAACCACUCGUCAGGCCACGUUGAGGCGGCGUCCCACAUCCCACAACUAGAAGGACCUGCAGCUAAGAUAUACAACUGUGUACCGGAGGGGUUUGGGAAAUAAAGCAGAAAAGAAAAGAAAAGAAAACAAAAAAGAUUGGCAACAGUUGUUAGCCCAGGUGCCAAUCCUUAAAAACAAAAAAGGAAGAUUGGCAACAGUUGUUAGCCUAGGUGCCAAUCUUUAAAAAAAAAAAAAAUUACAUGGAAGACUGUGACUUUUAAGACUUUAAAAAAUAGGGGCUGACUCCGUGGCUGAGUGGUUAAGUUUGUGCGCUCUUCUUCAGUGGCCCAGGGUUUUGCCAGUUCAGAUCCUGGGCGUGGACUUGGCACUGCUCAUCAGGCCAUGCUGAGGCGGUGGCCCACACAGCACAACCAGAGGCACUCACAACUAGAAUAUACAACUAUGUACUGGGGGGCUUUGGGGAGAAAAAGAAGAAGAAGGAAAAAAAAAAAAGAUUGGCAACAGUUGUUAGCUCAGGUGCCAGUCGUUAAAAAGAGACUUUAAAAAAUAAACUGAAAAAAUUGAAAUCUAGCAUACUUACAGAAAAUUAUGCAAAUCAUAGGUGUACAGCCUGAUGGAUUUUCACAAAGUAAGCAUACCUGUGUAAUCGUCCCUCAGAUCAAGAAAGUAAAUAUUACCAGCAUCCGGAAGACUCCUUCCUGCCCCGUCCUGGUCCUGCCCUGUUCCCCCCGGGUUGCCACUACCCUGAUUCCUAACACCGUGGAUCUGUUUUGUCUGUUUUCGAAUUUUAUAAAAAUGGAGUAAUAAAAUAUGUAUUCUUUUUUUGUUG
Long non-coding RNA from Equus caballus (horse), 3165 nucleotides. The record is from Ensembl. NCBI's taxonomy places the organism in Eukaryota, Metazoa, Chordata, Mammalia, Perissodactyla, Equidae.